RNAcentral lists this ribosomal RNA (497 nucleotides) under uncultured bacterium. Its description in RNAcentral is "partial 16S ribosomal RNA". It matches the Rfam family "Bacterial small subunit ribosomal RNA", at positions 28 to 507 of the family's 1533-position model. The record is from RNAcentral.
GAUGAACGCUGGCGGCGUGCCUAAUACAUGCAAGUCGAGCGAACGGACGAGAAGCUUGCUUCUCUGAUGUUAGCGGCGGACGGGUGAGUAACACGUGGAUAACCUACAUAUAAGACUGGGAUAACUUCGGGAAACCGGAGCUAAUACCGGAUAAUAUUUUGAGCCGCAUGGUUCAAAAGUGAAAGACGGUCUUGCUGUCACUUAUAGAUGGAUCCGCGCUGCAUUAGCUAGUUGGUAAGGUAACGGCUUACCAAGGCAACGAUGCAUAGCCGACCUGAGAGAGUGAUCGGCCACACUGGAACUGAGACGCGGUCCAGACUCCUACGGGAGGCAGCAGUAGGGAAUCUUCCGCAGUGGGCGAAAGCCUGACGGAGCAACGCCGCGUGAGUGAUGGAGGUCUUCGGAUCGUAAAACUCUGUUAUGAGGGAAGAACAUAUGUGUAAGUAACUGUGCACAUCUUGACGGUACCUAAUCAGAAAGCCACGGCUAACUACGUG